Molecule: ribosomal RNA, 568 nt
Filed under: Pichia kluyveri
Lineage: Eukaryota; Fungi; Ascomycota; Pichiomycetes; Pichiales; Pichiaceae
Description: partial large subunit ribosomal RNA
Rfam family: Eukaryotic large subunit ribosomal RNA
Source: RNAcentral
AGGGCAUGCCUCAGUAGCGGCGAGUGAGCGGCAAGAGCUCAGAUUUGAAAUCUCACCUAGUGUGCGAGUUGUAAAUUGCAGGUUGGAGUCUCGGGUUAGACGUGUGUGCAAGUCCCUUGGAACAGGGCGCCACUGAGGGUGAGAGCCCCGUAGCGUGCAUGUCGACACCUGUGAGGCCCUUCUGACGAGUCGAGUUGUUUGGGAAUGCAGCUCUAAGUGGGUGGUAAAUUCCAUCUAAGGCUAAAUAUUGGCGAGAGACCGAUAGCGAACAAGUACUGUGAAGGAAAGAUGAAAAGCACUUUGAAAAGAGAGUGAAACAGCACGUGAAAUUGUUGAAAGGGAAGGGUAUUGGGCUCGACAUGGGAUUUACGCAUCGUUGCCUCUCGUGGGCGGCGCUCUGGGUUUUUCCUGGGCCAGCAUCGGUUUUCGUUGCAGGAUAAGGACAAUUGGAAUGUGGCUCCUCGGAGUGUUAUAGCCUUUUGUAGAUGCUGCGUAUGGGGACCGAGGGCUGCGGCGGACUCGUUUCGUCUCGGAUGCUGGCACAACGGCGCAAUACCGCCCGUCUUGA